UUGCUAGAGAGGAAAGUGGCGGACGGGUGAGUAAAAUGUAGAGAAUCUGCCCUUGAGAGGGGGACAACAGUUGGAAACGGCUGCUAAUACCCCAUAUGAGCGUACCUGAGAUGGUAUUCUUGAAAACUCCGGUGCUCAAGGAUGAGUCUGCAUCUGAUUAGCUAGUUGGCGGGGUAAUGGCCCACCAAGGCGACGAUCAGUAGCUGGUUUGAGAGGAUGAUCAGCCACAAUGGGACUGAGACACGGCCCAUACUCC
RNAcentral lists this ribosomal RNA (256 nucleotides) under uncultured bacterium. Its description in RNAcentral is "partial 16S ribosomal RNA". It matches the Rfam family "Bacterial small subunit ribosomal RNA", at positions 80 to 339 of the family's 1533-position model. The record is from RNAcentral.